Molecule: ribosomal RNA, 253 nt
Filed under: uncultured bacterium
Lineage: Bacteria
Description: partial 16S ribosomal RNA
Rfam family: Bacterial small subunit ribosomal RNA
Source: RNAcentral
UACGAAGGGGGCUAGCGUUGCUCGGAAUCACUGGGCGUAAAGGGCGCGUAGGCGGAUCUUUAAGUCGGGGGUGAAAGCCCAGGGCUCAACCCUGGAAUUGCCUUCGAUACUGGAGAUCUUGAGACCGGAAGAGGUAAGUGGAACUGCGAGUGUAGAGGUGAAAUUCGUAGAUAUUCGCAAGAACACCAGUGGCGAAGGCGGCUUACUGGUCCGGUUCUGACGCUGAGGCACGAAAGCGUGGGGAGCAAACAGG